RNAcentral lists this ribosomal RNA (253 nucleotides) under uncultured bacterium. RNAcentral describes it as "partial 16S ribosomal RNA". It matches the Rfam family "Bacterial small subunit ribosomal RNA", at positions 524 to 776 of the family's 1533-position model. The record is from RNAcentral.
UACGUAGGGUGCGAGCGUUGUCCGGAAUUAUUGGGCGUAAAGGGCUCGUAGGCGGUUUGUCGCGUCGGGAGUGAAAACCCAGGGCUUAACUCUGGGCUGGCUUUCGAUACGGGCAGACUAGAGGUAUGCAGGGGAGAACGGAAUUCCUGGUGUAGCGGUGAAAUGCGCAGAUAUCAGGAGGAACACCGGUGGCGAAGGCGGCUCACUGGCCCGUAACUGACGCUCAUGCACGACAGCGUGGGGAUCAAACAGG